Physella acuta is the source of this 439-nucleotide long non-coding RNA. RefSeq lists it as uncharacterized. The record is from RefSeq and is a predicted model, not a curated record. NCBI's taxonomy places the organism in Eukaryota, Metazoa, Mollusca, Gastropoda, Physidae.
GUUUAACUUUAUUAGACGCAAUAACCUAGACACGAUUUGGAUUGAUAAAAUCGCAUCAGAUGUUCACUGAAGAGUCCCGAAUAUAGAGACCCACAGCGAGAGAAGAUGAAGAGCUACCUUCUUCUUUAUUCCCUACACGUCGUCUGUGGUCUAAUGUGGAACUCCCCCAACAACAGAUGGUACAUUUGUCACUGUGUUGACGACCAGUGUAUGACGGAUGGGACUUGUAGACCCGGCUAUCAAUGUGUCAGAGGCUGGUUCGGUCCCGCUUGCCAAUACAAGGACCUGGGUACUGAAGCCAACAUAACCCUUGUACCUGCAGGUCUUGAUACACACUUGUUGACGGAUGGUAACGACACGACUUGUGUUAAUGUUACAUCAGCAGCACUAACAUGGGGUGCAGCACACUACUUCACCUGGCUUAGGAUCACGUCACAUC